AUCAGAUUCCAGAUAAUCUAGCUAUACAAAAUCCGUUCGGAUAUUUUUCUUUGACUGAAUACAAACUCAAGUUUUUUUGGGCUUAGGUUUCAGAUCUAAUCUUAGGUCAGUUACACAUUCUCACGCAUGUCAAAAGUACAAAUCUAUACUAUACUAAAAGCAGCAUAUACUCAAUGGUGAAGCCCUCCACGUCUGCACUAAAAAUCAUCCAAUAAAAAGAUUAUAUUUUGACAUGUCAGACAGCUAUCCAUUGAAGAAAUUAAUUGGGCUUUUCUAUCCACUUUUUCUCGACGAUGACUAUCUCUUUUCUCAAAAACUGUAGGCGAUCAAGCAUCUAUGCAUUUAUGAUAUGCCAUCCGCUCAAGCUUUAAAUCGGGUAUUCAUGCUGCAUAAAAACACCAGCUCUUCAAAAAGAAAAAAAAAACGUCAAUUCUUCGAACGAUUCACUUUGGACGUUUUGUUCUUAACCUUUUUCUCUGACAAUUUUUGUGAAAAUCUGAUGUUAUAACUUAUAAUGUUGUGGGGAUAAGGGAUGGGGAAAUUAACAGCAAGUCUUAGUAAGAAAUUGACUUACAGAUGGUGAACAAGUUCAAACAUUCCAAGGCAGAACAAAACCACUUUGGCCUCGAAAUUACCUUCUUCCCAACUUAAUAUCCACUGCAACCCAAUCGCAGGAAAAGUAAUUGCUUAUAGAUUCAGAUCAGAACUGAUUUGUAGGAUAUGACGAUGAUGGAAUGUUUAUAGGUGCUAUAUAGGUUAUUGAUUACUGGGUAACUAGGUUUUAAUGGUGGCAAGAAUUUUCCUUUAAAAUUGUUGUAGGAUAUGUUCUUUCACAUAUUAAUUGUUUUUGGAUUGGUUAGAUCAAUAUGAUUUGGUUUCCUUAAGUUUCUACUGUUGUUCCUGGUGCACGUUAGUCAUUCUAAAAAUUUUAAGAGGCUUCACUUGAAAGAACGUCCUAAACUGUUCCCUUCUCUAAAAGUAAGAGUCACUUGCAAAACAGAAGGCUGUAGUUCAAGCUUGGAUCACUCCUAAACUUUCCAAUGGAUUCUUAUGUGCUAUUAUUCCUCACACGCCUUACGAACAGAGAAGAAGGCUUAUGGGUUCUUCUUGGAAAUUCAAACAAUAUCUGUUACUUUCAGAAGGUUAGUUUCAUGGAUGAGUCCGAAGCUAUACACACUUCUUCGAGUGCUAUUUUUUGGACAAUAGAAAGCAAGCGUCAGGCAAAGAACAAGGAAGUUAGAGAAGGUUGGAAGCCUGUCAAGAUUAGUUAUGAGGAAACGCUUUGAACCUGCAGAAAAUACUUAUAAUUUGACUUGCUUAUGAGUUCUGCUUAAGAGAUGCUUGGAUCAGUUGUGAUACAAAAUACACAACUGAGUUGAGUAUUUGAAAAGAACCAGUGAUUUGGACUUUGGAGGGUGAAGUUGCAGAAGAAGGUAUGGAGGAGGAAAAAAAAAAAGAUGAUAAUAAAUAGAAUUAUGGAAGCAAAUAUAGCGAGACUUAGAAGAUAAGAAGAAAGAUCAAAGAAAAUAAACAAGAUGGGGUUGAGUUCCACAGAGCGAGAUGGGGUUGAGUUCCAAAGAGCAGGAUGGAUGUUGAGAAACGAGGUGUUAAACUUUCACCGUAGAUUUUGCCUCCAAAAUUUAUACUCUGAUACACAAACUCAAACACUUUAGGCUGUCUUUAGCCUGUUAUUUGUUUUUCAGCUGCUUUCGUAGUCGUUUUGGAUUUUGAUGUUUUGGACAUUCGUCGACUCUCCAAGUUAUGUCUUGAUUUGACU
This is a long non-coding RNA of Brassica napus (rape), 1777 nucleotides long. RefSeq lists it as uncharacterized. The transcript is spliced from 2 exons. NCBI's taxonomy places the organism in Eukaryota, Viridiplantae, Streptophyta, Magnoliopsida, Brassicales, Brassicaceae. The record is from RefSeq and is a predicted model, not a curated record.